GGUUAAGCGACUAAGCGUACACGGUGGAUGCCCUGGCAGUCAGAGGCGAUGAAGGACGUGCUAAUCUGCGAUAAGCGCCGGUAAGGUGAUAUGAACCGUUAUAACCGGCGAUUUCCGAAUGGGGAAACCCAGUGUGAUUCGUCACACUAUCAUUAACUGAAUCCAUAGGUUAAUGAGGCGAACCGGGGGAACUGAAACAUCUAAGUACCCCGAGGAAAAGAAAUCAACCGAGAUUCCCCCAGUAGCGGCGAGCGAACGGGGAGGAGCCCAGAGCCUGAAUCAGCAUGUGUGUUAGUGGAAGCGUCUGGAAAGGCGCGCGAUACAGGGUGACAGCCCCGUACACAAAAGCGCAUGUGCUGUGAGCUCGAUGAGUAGGGCGGGACACGUGGUAUCCUGUCUGAAUAUGGGGGGACCAUCCUCCAAGGCUAAAUACUCCUGACUGACCGAUAGUGAACCAGUACCGUGAGGGAAAGGCGAAAAGAACCCCGGCGAGGGGAGUGAAAAAGAACCUGAAACCGUGUACGUACAAGCAGUGGGAGCACAGGUUUACCUGUGUGACUGCGUACCUUUUGUAUAAUGGGUCAGCGACUUAUAUUCUGUAGCAAGGUUAACCGAAUAGGGGAGCCGGAGGGAAACCGAGUCUUAAUUGGGCGUUAAGUUGCAGGGUAUAGACCCGAAACCCGGUGAUCUAGCCAUGGGCAGGUUGAAGGUUGGGUAACACUAACUGGAGGACCGAACCGACUAAUGUUGAAAAAUUAGCGGAUGACCUGUGGCUGGGGGUGAAAGGCCAAUCAAACCGGGAGAUAGCUGGUUCUCCCCGAAAGCUAUUUAGGUAGCGCCUCGUGAAUUCAUCUCCGGGGGUAGAGCACUGUUUCGGCUAGGGGGCCAUCCCGGCUUACCAACCCGAUGCAAACUGCGAAUACCGGAGAAUGUUAUCACGGGAGACACACGGCGGGUGCUAACGUCCGUCGUGAAGAGGGAAACAACCCAGACCGCCAGCUAAGGUCCCAAAGUCAUGGUUAAGUGGGAAACGAUGUGGGAAGGCCCAGACAGCCAGGAUGUUGGCUUAGAAGCAGCCAUCAUUUAAAGAAAGCGUAAUAGCUCACUGGUCGAGUCGGCCUGCGCGGAAGAUGUAACGGGGCUAAACCAUGCACCGAAGCUGCGGCAGCGACACUGUGUGUUGUUGGGUAGGGGAGCGUUCUGUAAGCCUGUGAAGGUGUGUCGUGAGGCAUGCUGGAGGUAUCAGAAGUGCGAAUGCUGACAUAAGUAACGAUAAAGCGGGUGAAAAGCCCGCUCGCCGGAAGACCAAGGGUUCCUGUCCAACGUUAAUCGGGGCAGGGUGAGUCGACCCCUAAGGCGAGGCCGAAAGGCGUAGUCGAUGGGAAACGGGUUAAUAUUCCCGUACUUGGUGUUACUGCGAAGGGGGGACGGAGAAGGCUAUGUUGGCCGGGCGACGGUUGUCCCGGUUUAAGCGUGUAGGUGUGUGUUCCAGGUAAAUCCGGUUCACUUUAACACUGAGGCGUGACGACGAGGCACUACGGUGCUGAAGCAACAAAUGCCCUGCUUCCAGGAAAAGCCUCUAAGCAUCAGGUAACAUCAAAUCGUACCCCAAACCGACACAGGUGGUCAGGUAGAGAAUACCAAGGCGCUUGAGAGAACUCGGGUGAAGGAACUAGGCAAAAUGGUGCCGUAACUUCGGGAGAAGGCACGCUGACACGUAGGUGAAGUGAUUUACUCAUGGAGCUGAAGUCAGUCGAAGAUACCAGCUGGCUGCAACUGUUUAUUAAAAACACAGCACUGUGCAAACACGAAAGUGGACGUAUACGGUGUGACGCCUGCCCGGUGCCGGAAGGUUAAUUGAUGGGGUCAGCGCAAGCGAAGCUCCUGAUCGAAGCCCCGGUAAACGGCGGCCGUAACUAUAACGGUCCUAAGGUAGCGAAAUUCCUUGUCGGGUAAGUUCCGACCUGCACGAAUGGCGUAAUGAUGGCCAGGCUGUCUCCACCCGAGACUCAGUGAAAUUGAACUCGCUGUGAAGAUGCAGUGUACCCGCGGCAAGACGGAAAGACCCCGUGAACCUUUACUAUAGCUUGACACUGAACAUUGAGCCUUGAUGUGUAGGAUAGGUGGGAGGCUUUGAAGUGUGGACGCCAGUCUGCAUGGAGCCGACCUUGAAAUACCACCCUUUAAUGUUUGAUGUUCUAACGUGGACCCGUUACCCGGGUUGCGGACAGUGUCUGGUGGGUAGUUUGACUGGGGCGGUCUCCUCCUAAAGAGUAACGGAGGAGCACGAAGGUUGGCUAAUCCUGGUCGGACAUCAGGAGGUUAGUGCAAUGGCAUAAGCCAGCUUGACUGCGAGCGUGACGGCGCGAGCAGGUGCGAAAGCAGGUCAUAGUGAUCCGGUGGUUCUGAAUGGAAGGGCCAUCGCUCAACGGAUAAAAGGUACUCCGGGGAUAACAGGCUGAUACCGCCCAAGAGUUCAUAUCGACGGCGGUGUUUGGCACCUCGAUGUCGGCUCAUCACAUCCUGGGGCUGAAGUAGGUCCCAAGGGUAUGGCUGUUCGCCAUUUAAAGUGGUACGCGAGCUGGGUUUAGAACGUCGUGAGACAGUUCGGUCCCUAUCUGCCGUGGGCGCUGGAGAACUGAGGGGGGCUGCUCCUAGUACGAGAGGACCGGAGUGGACGCAUCACUGGUGUUCGGGUUGUCAUGCCAAUGGCACUGCCCGGUAGCUAAAUGCGGAAGAGAUAAGUGCUGAAAGCAUCUAAGCACGAAACUUGCCCCGAGAUGAGUUCUCCCUGAGACUUUAAGUCUCCUGAAGGAACGUUGAAGACGACGACGUUGAUAGGCCGGGUGUGUAAGCGCAGCGAUGCGUUGAGCUAACCGGUACUAAUGAACCGUGAGGCUUAACCUU
Molecule: ribosomal RNA, 2907 nt
Filed under: Salmonella enterica subsp. enterica serovar Senftenberg
Lineage: Bacteria; Pseudomonadati; Pseudomonadota; Gammaproteobacteria; Enterobacterales; Enterobacteriaceae
Description: 23S ribosomal RNA
Rfam family: Bacterial large subunit ribosomal RNA
Source: RNAcentral